UAGGGAAUCUUCGGCAAUGGACGGAAGUCUGACCGAGCAACGCCGCGUGAGUGAAGAAGGUUUUCGGAUCGUAAAGCUCUGUUGUAAGAGAAGAACGAGUGUGAGAGUGGAAAGUUCACACUGUGACGGUAUCUUACCAGAAAGGGACGGCUAACUACGUGCCAGCAGCCGCGGUAAUACGUAGGUCCCGAGCGUUGUCCGGAUUUAUUGGGCGUAAAGCGAGCGCAGGCGGUUAGAUAAGUCUGAAGUUAAAGGCUGUGGCUUAACCAUAGUAGGCUUUGGAAACUGUUUAACUUGAGUGCAAGAGGGGAGAGUGGGAUUCCAUGUGUAGCGGUGAAAUGCGUAGAUAUAUGGAGGAACACCGGUGGCGAAAGCGGCUCUCUGGCUUGUAACUGACGCUGAGGCUCGAAAGCGUGGGGAGCAAACAGGAUUAGAUACCCUGGUAGUCCACGCUGUAAACGAUGAGUGCUAGGUGUUAGACCCUUUCCGGGGUUUAGUGCCGUAGCUAACGCAUUAAGCACUCCGCCUGGGGAGUACGACCGCAAGGUUG
RNAcentral lists this ribosomal RNA (550 nucleotides) under uncultured bacterium. RNAcentral describes it as "bacterial SSU rRNA". It matches the Rfam family "Bacterial small subunit ribosomal RNA", at positions 355 to 896 of the family's 1533-position model. The record is from RNAcentral.